UCCGAAAGAAAGCACUCGGCCAGUAAUUCCACCAAGGUAAAAAGCACCAACCAACCAACCAUAAAGCUCACACAAGUGUGUACUACUGAUUUAAUUUAAUUUAGUACACGCACACACACAGGCAGUAGAGCUGUUAGUCGAAACCAUGAAUUACCUACCCUACUGUCAGUGUCAGCCUGGUUACCUUGGUGACAAUAUUAACAAUGCCGUCCUUUGUGUUGCAGCAGAAACGCAAGUCGUCGAGCCUCAAGGACACGAGCCCGGUCGGCCUGGCCAUCGAUUUCAACAGUGCGGACGCGUCGAGGCAGCCCCUGUUGCCCUUGCAGCCAAACUCUCCGGACUGCAGGGUCCAUAAGAAGUGAAGCUGGCCGUCCCGGCAUUCUCCUCUGGAUGGCUUGAACUGAAGUGAACUGAACAACUACCCCUUAGCUAGGCACUGUCGCUUGCUGCUUGCCUGAUCGAUCUGACUAACUUGCUGGGUUAAUUUGGUUGGUUCUUGUCGGUAGAACCUCCUCGGUCAUAUGUAGCCUGUGUUUUCCGCUUUCUUCUUCCGCUUGUCUUGGCAGCUGCCUGUGUCUAUCAUAUCAUGAUCCUUUCAUGACAAAAUUAGUAGUAUUAUCUUAGUAGUUUUGUGUCUGGUGAUGAGCGUGUAAGGCGCUGAUUCGACGCUUAUUGUGGCCAGUUCGUCG
RNAcentral lists this long non-coding RNA (689 nucleotides) under Triticum aestivum (bread wheat). RNAcentral's name for it is "long non-coding RNA (TAES_LNC019199)". The record is from RNAcentral. Lineage: Eukaryota; Viridiplantae; Streptophyta; Magnoliopsida; Poales; Poaceae.